AUGGAGCUGUGCGGGGGGAAGAAGAGAAGACCGGUCAGUGGACGCCCAGCGCGGGGACUGGGCCCCGGGGCCCUCCCUCUCCAGCCCUCACUGUGACAAGGUCGCUCUUCUCUUCCAGAAAGAGCUCCUCCUCACUUCAGAAGGCAAGCCGAAACCCUUCCUUCCUUUACUUCAAAGGCUGACUCACGUGCGGUUUGUUCAUCAGACCUGGAAAGCCGGUGCAGGGUGGAGGGUGCGGGGAGCUGCUUCCCGGCACCGCGGGGCUGGGCGCCUGCCACACACAGCUCGGCUGCUCACCGGACAGUCCACUUCACGGGAGGGCAAACCGAGCCUCAGAAACCCCCAGCCUUCCAGGUCAGCCUUGACAAGGUCUGAAAAGACCUGGAGUCCCUCCUUCCUUUUGCCCAUCCUAUGACUUUUUUAAUGAGAACGGAGGUACUUUGCUGCAGACACGGGGAGCUCCUCAUCAUGCUAAUCCUCACCCCGUGUUUCUGCCGGCGUGCAGUGUCUCUGCGCUAGCAGCCAGUUUCGGGCAGGGACCAGGACCGCCACCACCACACAGAAAGAUUUGGGACAGACUUAAAUUCCCCCACAUGCACCCUAAGGUAACUCCUCUGUGGCUACAGGUGACCCAGUGAGGGAGCUGGCUUAGAAUCUCUAGUUCUCCCAUGACCUGCAUGCUGGGUGUGAGUCUAGCCCCCAGGAAGAUGAGACGCUGCUCUGAGCGGGUGCAAGGCCUCACUAGGCCCCACCAAGUCUCACCAAGCCUCACCAGGCCUCACCAGACUCCACCAUGGUCUACCAGGCCUCAUCAGACCCCACCACACUCCACCAAGCUCCAUCGAGGCCCCAGCAGCAUCCCCCGCCCCGGCGGGCUUAGAACCUGCCUGCCAUCAGUACUUAAGAGAAACAUUGCCCCAGGAAGCUAAACCCAUAGCACCCAAGCCUGUGCCUUCCUCCCCGGCAUAACUUCACACGCAGGAUCUAUCUGUGAUUUUUCACCGAUCAUGGCUGUAAUUGGUUACUAUAGAAACCCCCUCGCCUUCAAGCCGCCCAGCUGUUAUGCAGAAAAACCAACCACUUGCCACGGUGGCAGGGAGAGGUUGAUCUGUUUUUCCUCUUCGAGUCCGGUUUCUUCCUUUUUAAGUGAUUUAUUUGUUCAGAGAGGAAAAAAAAAGAAGGUGGACAACCAGGAGACAGGCCCCAGCCCACCGCCAGCAGCCAAGAAAUGUGGGGGGCAGGGGGAGCCCCUCCCACAGGGAGAUCUGUAGGGGUCUCCGCUCAUCUUGGUGCAAGGCCAAGAGUGUCCCAGGCUCUGUGUGGCCAUCGCCCGGCCGAGCUCCGUGUGCUGCCCGGACCUGGUCCUGGGACUCCUGCCGACGCCUUGAUGAGAGGCCACAGCCGGAGGAGGAUCUGGCUGUAUCUGCAGGGACCGGGGAGCAGCACAAACAAUCUCUGUCGUCACCCCUCGGGCAGCUCUGAGAUGAGGCAGAGCCAGGACCACUCUUCUCGCUGAUCCUUCUCAGCCUGGGCUGGGCUCUGAGCGUCUCUCAUUCUGUGAUGAACAGGUUCUGGCAGGGCCUCACCCCAGGAAGCCGUCAGGCGUUCACUAAGAUGGCAGGCACCCCCACACUCGUUGGGAGGGAGUCCCUGCAGCACAGCCGACCACACCGCCAACCAUCAGGAGGUCAGGGUGGGCAGAAGUGGCACCGGGUCCCCCAAACUCAAGCAUCCAUAGGCCCCUUAAGAACACACCACCCACGUCACACCCAGAGAGACAGCUCCGAGCAGAAAGACAGACAACACGAAGCGUUGGUGAAGACACAGGAGACGGGAGGCCUAGUACCCUGUUGGGGGGAAUGAAACCCAGAAUGCCCCUGGGCAAAACAGUUUGGCAAUUCAUUAGAACCCUAAAGAUGGCAUUACAGCGACCCAGCUGCCCCCUCUGAGGCAUGGGCAUCUGUCCACGUGAAACCUGCACGUGGAGGCCCAGGGCCACACUCCUCCCAACAGCCAAAGCUCACACAGCCCACGUGUCCAUCAGCUGAGGGACGGAUACAGGGAAUCUGGCCUAAUGAUACAAUGGAGUGUUGCUCAGCCUUUAAAACCACGGAGGGAUUACUUGAUCUUAUGCUUCGAUGGGGCUGUACCUUGAAAACCCUGAGAAGUGAAAGAAGCCAGGCACUCAAGGCUACGAGGCGCACGGUUCCAUUUACAGGAAAUGCAGAGUGGGCAGAUCCAUAGAGACAGAAAGAUGAGCAGUGGCCCCAGGCUUGGGAGAAGGGUUCUGGGGUAUGGGGUUUCUUUUUGGGGUGACGAAAUGUCCUGGAAUUGGGUGAACAACGCCAUGCACAUAUGAAACCCACUAAACUGUACGCUUGUAGUGGGUGAGUUUUUUGCAAUGUAAAUUAUAUUCCAACACGAAUCAAAAGGAAUGUGUGCAAGGGUUGGGGGAUCAUGUGUGGUGCGUGGCAUGGCACCCUAAUCCUGGCCCUGGCGGAUGGGUGGAAGGCAGGGCAGCCCCAGAGCUGCAGGCAUGUGAGCAGGGGGAAGCCAUGGAGACUUUGGCUUCAACCGCCCAGUCCUUGCUGGGACACCCUGAACGUGAGACAAGGCCCUGCCUGAGCACCUGAGAACAACAUCCACACCCUUCAAGAAGGGGUGAGGGCAGCUCCCUCUCAACAGCUUCCGUGAUUUUCAAAUGGGGAACAACACUCCUUGGCCGGCCGCCAUCCAGCUGCUUCCAAACGGGGAGCGACCGCUCCAUCUCACUUUAUUUUCUAGUUUGUGGCUUUCUUGCUUCUCUUCCUUUUAAAUUUUUAUUGAAAUCUUUUUUCCCCAAGAACAGUUUAAUAACAUUUGCUGAAUUGAGAUUCAAUUCACUACCUUCUGUAUAUUUUCUUCACAGAAGAAAAUCACUGUCAAUUAAGGGGACAAAGACAUCUCUUCCACUUACAGCUGAACCUUUCCUUGGGCCGCACGCCUGCUGCGUCAGCCUCCUGGGAGCAGCUGGUGUCUGCCUGGUGGGAGCACCGGCGUAGGGAGAACUGGAAUUGUUCCACCGGGCAACAGCCCAGAACCUUCAGGGUGGGACGGGAUCUGUGCCCGUGGCCAGCCCACCCCAGGUCUUCCACAAAGACACCCACUUCCCUUGACUCCUCCAGGCCCUGUCGUUCUCUGGCUGUGGGGCCCGAGGGAAGGAUGUGUGUUUGAUGAAGUUAGCCGGGCCUGGGCUUGUGGCUUCCUGCUCU
Long non-coding RNA from Sapajus apella (tufted capuchin), 3251 nucleotides. RefSeq lists it as uncharacterized. The record is from RefSeq and is a predicted model, not a curated record. Lineage: Eukaryota; Metazoa; Chordata; Mammalia; Primates; Cebidae. The transcript has 2 exons.